Molecule: ribosomal RNA, 465 nt
Filed under: uncultured bacterium
Lineage: Bacteria
Description: partial 16S ribosomal RNA
Rfam family: Bacterial small subunit ribosomal RNA
Source: RNAcentral
CUACGGGACGCAGCAGUGGGGAAUAUUGGACAAUGGGGGAAACCCUGAUCCAGCAAUGCCGCGUGUGUGAAGAAGGCCUGCGGGUUGUAAAGCACUUUCGGUUGGGAGGACUGCUUCUAGCACUAAUAUUGUUGGAAGUUGACGUUACCUUCAGAAGAAGCACCGGCUAACUCCGUGCCAGCAGCCACGGUAAUACGGAGGGUGCAAGCGUUAAUCGGAAUUACUGGGCGUAAAGCGCGCGUAGGCGGCUAGAUCAGUCGGGUGUGAAAGCCCCGGGCUUAACCUGGGAACUGCAUCCGAUACUGUCUAGCUUGAGUACAGGAGAGGAGAGUGGAAUUCCACAUGUAGCGGUGAAAUGCGUAGAUAUGUGGAGGAACACCAAUGGCGAAGGCAGCUCUCUGGCCUGAUACUGACGCUGAGGUGCGAAAGCGUGGGAAGCAAACAGGAUUAGAUACCCCCGUAGUC